RNAcentral lists this transfer RNA (63 nucleotides) under Andrena haemorrhoa. Its description in RNAcentral is "tRNA-Leu". The record is from RNAcentral. Lineage: Eukaryota; Metazoa; Arthropoda; Insecta; Hymenoptera; Andrenidae.
ACUUCCUUGGCAGAAUAGUGCGUUAAAUUUAGGGUUUAAAAUAUGUAUAUAAUAUAGGUAGUA